CCAUGCCGUAAACGAUGAUUACUAAGCGUCGGGGGUCGAACCUCGGCACUCAAGCUAACGCGAUAAGUAAUCCGCCUGGGGAGUACGUACGCAAGUAUGAAACUCAAAGGAAUUGACGGGGACCCGCACAAGCAGCGGAGCAUGUGGUUUAAUUCGAAGCAACGCGAAGAACCUUACCAGGACUUGACAUAUAUGAGAAAAGCUUAGAGAUAAGUAAUACUCUUCGGAGACUGAUAUACAGGUGGUGCAUGGUUGU
Molecule: ribosomal RNA, 256 nt
Filed under: uncultured bacterium
Lineage: Bacteria
Description: partial 16S ribosomal RNA
Rfam family: Bacterial small subunit ribosomal RNA
Source: RNAcentral